Non-coding RNA from Salmo salar (Atlantic salmon), 185 nucleotides. The record is from RefSeq and is a predicted model, not a curated record. Lineage: Eukaryota; Metazoa; Chordata; Actinopteri; Salmoniformes; Salmonidae.
CAGGCAGGAAGGUCUACAGAGGUGGGCAGAGGGCUCUACUGCGGGUAUAAAGUUGUAAAACGGGCAGGAAGGUCUACAGAGGUGGGCAGAGGGCUCUACUGCGGGUAUAAAGUUGUAAAACAGGCAGGAAGGUCUACAGAGGUGGGCAGAGGGCUCUACUGCGGGUAUAAAGUUGUAAAACAGGC